Molecule: ribosomal RNA, 421 nt
Filed under: uncultured bacterium
Lineage: Bacteria
Description: bacterial SSU rRNA
Rfam family: Bacterial small subunit ribosomal RNA
Source: RNAcentral
UAAGGAAUAUUGGUCAAUGGACGCAAGUCUGAACCUGCCAUGCCGCGUGAAGGAUGAAGGUCCUCUGGAUUGUAAACUUCUUUUAUCUGGGACGAAAACGGGAUUUUUAUCUCAAUUGACGGUACCAGAGGAAUAAGCACCGGCUAACUCCGUGCCAGCAGCCGCGGUAAUACGGAGGGUGCGAGCGUUAUCCGGAUUUACUGGGUUUAAAGGGUGCGUAGGUGGGCUUAUAAGUCAGUGGUGAAAUCUUCCGGCUUAACCGGAAAACUGCCGUUGAUACUAUUUGUCUUGAAUAUUGCGGAGGUAAGCGGAAUAUGUCAUGUAGCGGUGAAAUGCAUAGAUAUGACAUGGAACACCAAUUGCGAAGGCAGCUUACUACACAAUGAUUGACGCUGAUGCACGAAAGCGUGGGGAGCGAACA